RNAcentral lists this ribosomal RNA (217 nucleotides) under uncultured bacterium. Its description in RNAcentral is "partial 16S ribosomal RNA". It matches the Rfam family "Bacterial small subunit ribosomal RNA", at positions 524 to 739 of the family's 1533-position model. The record is from RNAcentral.
UACGUAGGGUGCGAGCGUUGUCCGGAAUUAUUGGGCGUAAAGAGCUCGUAGGCGGUGUGUCACGUCGGCCGUGAAAACCUGCAGCUUAACUGUGGGCGUGCGGUCGAUACGGGCAUCACUGGAGUUCGGCAGGGGAGACUGGAAUUCCUGGUGUAGCGGUGAAAUGCGCAGAUAUCAGGAGGAACACCGGUGGCGAAGGCGGCUAUCUGGACAGAGU